This 465-nucleotide ribosomal RNA is filed under the name uncultured bacterium. RNAcentral's name for it is "partial 16S ribosomal RNA". It matches the Rfam family "Bacterial small subunit ribosomal RNA", at positions 28 to 507 of the family's 1533-position model. The record is from RNAcentral.
GACGAACGCUGGCGGCGUGCUUAACACAUGCAGGUCGUACGGUAAGGCCCUUUCGGGGGUACACGAGUGGCGAACGGGUGAGUAACACGUGAGUAACCUGCCCACAACUUUGGGAUAACGCUAGGAAACUGGUGCUAAUACUGGAUAUGUGCUCCUGCUGCAUGGUGGGGGUUGGAAAGCUCCGGCGGUUGUGGAUGGACUCGCGGCCUAUCAGCUUGUUGGUGGGGUAGUGGCCUACCAAGGCGGCGACGGGUAGCCGGCCUGAGAGGGUGACCGGCCACAUUGGGACUGAGAUACGGCCCAGACUCCUACGGGAGGCAGCCGUGGGGAAUAUUGCACAAUGGGCGCAAGCCUGAUGCAGCAACGCCGCGUGCGGGAUGACGGCCUUCGGGUUGUAAACCGCUUUCAGCAGGGACGAAGCUUUUUGUGACGGUACCUGCAGAAGAAGCACCGGCUAACUACGUG